Molecule: ribosomal RNA, 549 nt
Filed under: Haloterrigena sp. J1
Lineage: Archaea; Methanobacteriati; Methanobacteriota; Halobacteria; Halobacteriales; Natrialbaceae
Description: bacterial SSU rRNA
Rfam family: Archaeal small subunit ribosomal RNA
Source: RNAcentral
UCAAUACCUCGGGAAACUGAGGCUAAUUCGGAAUACGAUUCACCACCUGGAGUGGUGUGAAUCCGAAACGCUCCGGCGCCAUAGGAUGUGGCUGCGGCCGAUUAGGUAGACGGUGGGGUAACGGCCCACCGUGCCCAUAAUCGGUACGGGUUGUGAGAGCAAGAGCCCGGAGACGGUAUCUGAGACAAGAUACCGGGCCCUACGGGGCGCAGCAGGCGCGAAACCUUUACACUGCACGAAAGUGCGAUAAGGGGACUCCAAGUGCGAGGGCAUAUAGUCCUCGCUUUUUGCGACCGUAAGGUGGUCGCGGAAUAAGUGCUGGGCAAGACCGGUGCCAGCCGCCGCGGUAAUACCGGCAGCACGAGUGAUGACCGCUAUUAUUGGGCCUAAAGCGUCCGUAGCUGGCCGUGCAAGUCCAUCGGGAAAUCCGCGCGCUUAACGCGCGGGCGUCCGGUGGAAACUGCAUGGCUUGGGACCGGAAGACCAGAGGGGUACGUCCGGGGUAGGAGUGAAAUCCCGUAAUCCUGGACGGACCACCGGUGGCGAAAG